Molecule: non-coding RNA, 1090 nt
Organism: Corylus avellana
Lineage: Eukaryota; Viridiplantae; Streptophyta; Magnoliopsida; Fagales; Betulaceae
Source: RefSeq, a predicted model, not a curated record
AUACAAUGAAAAUUGCGCGGGUUAUAUGCUAGUUAACUUAACCAUCGGAGCUAUUUUUCGCCGACACAUCCCGACAAGCUCUUAUGCUUAUUUACUAUUCUAACACCAUUUAGUAAAUUGUUAUAGUCAUCCUCGUCAUUGGUGUUUUCAUCAGAACUAUUUGUCGUCAAAUGGGAGUCAUGGGACCAAUUGGGUUUGACUAAAACGGGUCCAUCGUCUGAGGAGGACCCUAAUCCAACAAAUCGGGCCGGUCUGUGUGAGGGUUUGAACCGUUUGUUUUGUUGGCGAAUAAAGCCAUAAACACUGUAGCUGCUCAGCGGCAAUAACAACUACACAUCCAACGAAGACGGUGUGCUUCGACUAUAACUUUGAUUUAUUUUCUUGUAAUCGAAAAUAACGAUAUAAUUUUUGGUUUUAAUUAUAAAAAAAAAAACACCAAUAAAGGUCCUUGCAGCUAUAAUAAGCAACAAUUAUGGAGAUCCUGUUAAUGGAUUGAGAAUGGUGGGUAGCAGUAUAAGUGAUAAGAGAUAUUCUUAUAUACGUGACUCUAAAUGGCCUUCUGAAGCGGCCGAUGUGCACCACAUCAUUGUUCGGAAGAGCAGCGCAAAGGGUUUACUUGUAUACUUGUCAGCUCUUCUGAUUUUAGCAAAUGGGUUCCAUCUUUUCCUUGUCAAGGAUAAAUCAAUUAUCAUUGUUUUUUGGAGCUUUCUUUUGGAUGUAUUCCUUGUCAAGCUCAUGCUUCAAAGCCUGUUAAGAAAGAGUCUGUUAUAGUUAUGCCAGCUUUUGGAAUUCAACUUGAAACUCACUAUGUAAGUGGUAAAACUAUCCGCCGCUUUGUACCCAUUGACAAGAUAUUGAAACCUACGCUAUAAGAAUGUGUGACCCCUGUUACUUGUUACUGGAGCCUGUCUUUCAUUGUACGAGGAGAGGCAGAACUGAUGUUAGCUUUUAAGGAGUUACGUCCGCCGGUGAAAAUGCUAGUCCCCAUCUGGAAGGCCUUGUGUGCUGCCACUGGAAGUGGAGGAAGCUUCGACACACUUACUGAUGAUGGCCCAUGGUGUUGAAGGAUUUUUUUUUUAAUUUUUAUUUG